Molecule: long non-coding RNA, 1649 nt
Organism: Choloepus didactylus (southern two-toed sloth)
Lineage: Eukaryota; Metazoa; Chordata; Mammalia; Pilosa; Megalonychidae
Exons: 4
Source: RefSeq, a predicted model, not a curated record
UCUCAACAGAGGUUCAACUCUUUUUUAGCCACAGACUUCAACCAGGCAAAAGUAUAUGGAAAGCCAUAAAGGAACUACCGACGCUUCAGCUGACCAGUCUUCCCAAAAGCAGAAGCUAAGUGGGGCUCUUCUUUGGGCUUUAGCAUAGCUGAAUUCCUCUGACGCUGGGGGAGGAGACAGGGUUGGGAAAUACUGCCACAAAUGCUGUCUCCAAACCCGAAGUCACCUCUUUCAAACUGGGCUCUGCAGCCCACCAGAUUCAUACUCUUCCCUUAAAUCACACGUCUAAGGCAUUGACAGAGCCUAAUACUUGGAGGAAGUUUGCCACCUCCAUGUUUAGCCUUUUAACCAAUCCAAAUCCAUGAGACCUUCUAUCAAUGACAGCAGCCAGGGCAAGAGCAGCUGAUUUCAUCCCUUCCUCUACUGCUACCACAGAGCUGGCCUCUACCAGGACUCCCCAACCCUCUAAACCUACCCACUCCCCAAGAAAGGCUCCCCAGGUCCUCAAAAAAGCAAAGUUUCAUUAAUUUUGCUUGUCCAGGCCAUGCUAGGCUGGACAAGAACUCUGAAACAAAUGCUCUAGCCAAAAGUCUUCUAAUCAAAAUGGACCUAAAAAGAGCCAAGAAUAAAGUAAUUAUCCUCUGUUAUUGUUUUCUUGAGUCAUAUAAACCUUUUUAACUGAUGCAACUCAGAAAAAUUUCCCUGUUUUGAGCAUAGGAGAGUUAAAAAACUAAGACGCAAAGUAAUGACCUAUAAUAUCAGUGGGCAUGAACAAGAGGUUUUCAAUCCAUUUUAGUUGGAAAAAAUUUACCAGCACGUAGCACUUAGGAUUGUGUCACAUAAAUACCAACCCAAAAGCCAGAAUGUGAUGGCUCAAACAAAGCCUUAAUCAUCUAAGAGAGACGAUGGAAAAAUUAAAAUGAAGGCUCCCCUCCCCUACUUUUUUAAAAAAAAGAAUUUAUUGCAGCCUCCAAGGUGGUGCUAGGCCUUUAGUUAAAAUUAAGUCUUAAGGACAUUCUAUGUAACUUCUGUCCAUAGGGGAAUACUAAUAAAAUCAAGCCUAGUCUCACUGGAACAACAUGGAAAUAAGUAAAAAGCCUCCUCAAACAGCAGAGCAAAGAAAAGGAAGAAAUCAAAUACUGCUGCAAGCCACAACCAGGAAGCACUCUCAGCAGUCAAACUGAUGUCAAAUGCCAAUGUGCUGAGUCCUUUUCAACAGUUUACAGCAAAGUUUCUUGGGUCCAAUGCCAGAGUUUACACUUCGGUUUCAAAGAAAAUUCUAGGGCAGUGCACUAAAAAACACACACUAUAUCCCACAAAAGAAAGUCAUCUACUUCUUGGAAAAUGAAGGCAACAUCAUUAAGGAUUCCCUUUGAUAAUGCACUGAAAGGCACUGGACAAAAGUUGAAUGGGCCUCAUACUGGAUUUUAAAGGUAUAUCCUCAAGAGACCUGAAAACAUAUGUUCACACAAAUAUUUGUACAUGAAUGUUCACAGCACCGUUAUUCAUAAUGGCCAAAAAGUGAAAACAUCCCAAAUGACCAUCACCUGAUGAAUGGAGUAUAUCUAUACAAUGGAGUAUCAGUAAGCCAUAAAAAAGAACGGAAAAUGCUAAUACAAGCUACAACAUGGAUGAACCCUGAAAAUACU